This 433-nucleotide ribosomal RNA is filed under the name uncultured bacterium. Its description in RNAcentral is "partial 16S ribosomal RNA". It matches the Rfam family "Bacterial small subunit ribosomal RNA", at positions 29 to 507 of the family's 1533-position model. The record is from RNAcentral.
AACGAACGCUGGCGGCAUGCCUAACACAUGCCAGUCGAACGAGACCUUCGGGUAGAGUGGCGCACGGGUGCGUAACGCGUGGGAACCUGCCCUUAGGUUCGGAAUAACUCCCCGAAAGGGGUGCUAAUACCGGAUAAUGUCUUCGGACCAAAGAUUUAUCGCCUUUGGAUGGGCCCGCGUUGGAUUAGCUAGUUGGUAGGGUAAAAGCCUACCAAGGCGACGAUCCAUAGCUGGUCUGAGAGGAUGAUCAGCCACACUGGGACUGAGACACGGCCCAGACUCGUACGGGAGGCAGCAGUGGGGAAUAUUGGACAAUGGGCGAAAGCCUAAUCCAGCAAUGCCGCGUGAGUGAUGAAGGCCUUAGGGUUGUAAAGCUCUUUUACCCGGGAUGAUAAUGACAGUACCGGGAGAAUAAGCACCGGCUAACUCCGUG